GCCGCUGCUACUGCUGCAAGUGGGAUAGCUGCUCAUCACACACCACCAGUUCAGUUCCCAAACCCGAUCCUCAUUACACGCCCAAGUGUUGCUGCUGUUGCCUACUCAAAACCGCGAUCUGUAGUGAUUCUGCCCUAUCCUUUCCCUCUCCACCUCCGCUGUAGACUGUGAAGGAGCAACAAUUUUUAAAGCAAAUGUUUAUUCGUCUUUCUCUUAAGCGGAGCUGGUGCACAUUCGGGGGUCUGCAUUUUGCGGAAUCACGCUGAUACUGCAGACACCAGAGAAAGAAAGAGGAGAAAGGUUAUUUCCUUUACUUUCUUAUCCUUAUUCGUACAGCAUAUCUGGAGAUCUUGAAGACUGAACUGUUGAGGAUUCGCAGCUGGAAUCAAAAUGAGAUCUGUUUUGAACAUGUGAAGUACCAGGUAAUAAAAGGCACUCUGAAAUUCAUGUAAUGAGUAUCAGAUUUGAUUAUCCUAAAUUUAUAGAUACUUAUUAAAUUUUAUGUUUCUUUUCCCCACCCGACAACUAUCCCUGACUUUCCAUUGUCUCAUAGAGGUUUUGUGAAAUUGUACUGAAACAUAUCCAUGAAACAUUCCAUAAAUUCAGAAAAGCCAAUACAUAAAUAAAUAAUUCUCUCUUCUGAAAAAAUAAAAUAAAUAAAUAAAAAUGAUUCGUAAAUAAAUCAAAUUGAGAUACA
This 697-nucleotide long non-coding RNA is filed under the name Strigops habroptila (Kakapo). RNAcentral's name for it is "lncRNA (ENSSHBG00005018072.1)". Lineage: Eukaryota; Metazoa; Chordata; Aves; Psittaciformes; Psittacidae. The record is from RNAcentral.